Molecule: long non-coding RNA, 2142 nt
Filed under: Ornithorhynchus anatinus (platypus)
Lineage: Eukaryota; Metazoa; Chordata; Mammalia; Monotremata; Ornithorhynchidae
Description: lncRNA (ENSOANG00000042801.1)
Source: RNAcentral
UCCGGGUGGAGAGGGUGACCUUGUUUUGUCUGUGUCUGCACACAGACUAACUGUGUGUCUCUGCGUUUGUCAUCGCCUCAGAUUUAGCAUCCUGGCAUCUUGUCUGACUCUGUCUGUCUCUUUAAGGGUAACUGGAGAUUCAAACGACUCUCUUUUUCCUCCACUACUGAUUCCUUGCUGCUGGUCUGUGCGGCCGCUCCCGGCCAAACCGUCCCUUCAGGCCUCCUCUUCAUCGGAAGAGAGGAAGACAAGGACUUCUCCAAGGGAGAAGAUGGAGAAGGGGCCGCAGCCAGGUUUUAGCCACGCGGAGUUCUCGGGAGCAGUUCAGAACCACAGGUGGCUAUGCCAUAAAAGUUAUCGGGGUAGUAGCCUCGUAGACGACGGAGCUGGAAUCCCUGCCUGCCUGUCGGAGUCUCUGACUAGACCUGAGAGUUUUCCAGUCAGGACUAGAGGUAUCCAAGAUGGCGGCUUGCCCACCUGUUUCCUCUUUGCCGCCUGACUUCUGACAAUCCUCUUCUGCCCUGAAAUCCCCCACCUGCUCUCCUGGGCUUUUCAUUCUGAUAAUUUGGGAGGACAAGGCUUAAAUUUCAGGGGGCUGCCAGGAAUGGGAUCCCCGCAUCCCCUGGGUUUGAGUCUGUCACCGGAGAAGCGGAGCCAGCUCACGACGGAGCCGCAGAGUCAGCCAGACGUCCGAAGCCGUCUCUGGAAGCCGAGUCGCGGAGGGAAACGUUCGCUUGCGUGCAGUGUGAAAGGACCUGUUAAUCACUCCUGACUCUUUUCAGUCAUUCCCACCCUCGGGCGUCAAAACCCUGGUGUCUGCUUCAUCUUCUCACUCAAGGGAUGAUGGCACGGUUCAUUUUUAAGACUUGCAAAGCGACUCGAUGCGAGUUCACGGAUGUGUUAGAGAAUUAUUCCCUGCCCGCAGCCUCGAGCCAUCUGCCUUUGCUCGUCCCAGGCCCACGGGGACCAGCCACCCCAAUUCUAAGCAAGACGGGGGGAAGGCCCCCGGCUGAAGAUGGCAGUUGACAGGUGAUGUGACACCUCCUGGGACACUGGCUGGGUCCGACCUGAUUAACUUGUACUACCCCAAUGCUUAGAACGGUGCUUGGUACACAGUAAGCGCUUAACGAGUACCAUAAUUAUUACCGGUGGUACCCUCAGAGGACGACGCUACCUACCCAAAAGGACCUUGGUCGUCAAACUAGCGUUUCCAUGCGACUCCGUGCAUAAAUCGGCUUUGUAUUUCUUUAGCUGCUAGCCAAUCCAAGGCCGCAGGACUACCCACCCCAUCUGAAAGCUAUUCCUGUUCUGGCCCUUCCACCCCCCCCCCCCCCCCCCGCCCACCCCCUCCGGUUAUAUUUAGCCGCAAAUGAAACCGUCACGUGCAAUGUCACAGGGUCCAUUUCAGCCAACUGAUGUGCAAGCAGUUUUUUUUAUUAGACAGAUGAUAAAAACUUUUUAAUUUUUGCUAUUUGCAGGGCCCAAGGAGAAAGCCACCCUAACGUUGAUGCCCGAUGACAGUUAGUCAAUGAAGAGAAGUGAAAAAAAACCCGGGUGGUACUGUCUACCUGUCGGAGCUCACCAGCACUAAAUUACAGAAUUAAUAGGCUUUUAGAAGAGACUGACACAUAGUUACUGUGAAAAAGACAAUUAAAUGUAGAAAGCCACUUUUCUCACUGCAUUUAAUUUUAACUGGAGGCUCUGAGACUCAAUAAAUCUUUUCCUUAUUUCUCUCUACUUUUCCACAGAUAUUAAACCCUUAAGAGGAGCUCCAAGAAAGAUUUCUGGCAUAAGAAAUGCCCCUUUCUCCUCUCCACCUCCUUCCUCUCCAGAAGGGUGGGGUUUAUCUUCUUCCUAUUUUUGAAUCGGGUUUUUUUUCUCCCCAUAAGAGGGUGGAAGUGUUUUUCCACCCAGAAUUUAAUGCGGUCGUUCCUUUGGUCCCUGAUGGGAGACGCCAUUAGAAAUACCACUUUAAGAAAGGGAGAUUGCAGGGUGAGAAGCGAUUUGCAAUCUGCUUCAGACCGUUAGCAAAACGGUAUUGUGAAGGAGACCCGGAAAUGGAAGGAAAUAAAGAUUGCAGUGCUCAGCGAAGACUGACAUCUGUAGCUUAGCCCUUCUGGAAACGUCGCAUUCUGGGGAUUC